AGUGGCGAACGGGUGAUAACACGUUGGUGACCUGCCCUGAGGAGGGGAAUGGCCGUGGGAACCGGCUAAUACCCGGAUGUCUAAGCUGUUAGAGGGGCUUAGAACUAAAAGCCCCUUUGCAAGGGGGUUNNGCGCCUCGNGAGAAGGGNGGCCUUGCGGGCUAUCAGGCUUGUUGGUGGGGUAAUGGCUUACCAAGGCGAAGACGGCUAGGAGGAGCGUGAGAGCCCGCGAGCCACCGCCCAGCAAUGGAACUGAGACACGGGGGGUACUCCUACGGGAGGCAGCAGGUGAGGAAUAUUGCGCAAUGGGGGCAACCCUGACGCAGCAACGCCGCGUGGACGAUGAAGGCCUUCGGGUUGUAAAGUCCUUUUCUGGAGGAAGAUAGUGACGGUACUUCAGGAAUAAGUCCCGGCUAACUACGUGCCAGCAGCCGCGGGUAAAACGGUAGGGGGCGAGCGUUAUCCGGAUUUACUGGGCGUAAAGCGCACGUAGGCGGCAUCGUAAGUUGGACGUGAAAGCUCCCGGCUCAACUGGGAGAGGUCGUUCAAAACUGUGGUGCUUGAGGUUGAUAGAGGAGAGUGGAAUUCCCGGUGUAGUGGUGGAAUGCGUAGAUAUCGGGAGGAACACCAGUGGCGAAGGCGGCUCUCUAGGUCACACCUGACGCUGAGGUGCGAGAGCGUGGGGAGCGAACGGGAUU
This 697-nucleotide ribosomal RNA is filed under the name uncultured organism. Its description in RNAcentral is "bacterial SSU rRNA". It matches the Rfam family "Bacterial small subunit ribosomal RNA", at positions 94 to 779 of the family's 1533-position model. The record is from RNAcentral.